GUGUCAGCAGCCGCGGUAAUACGUAGGUGGCGAGCGUUGUCCGGAUUUACUGGGUGUAAAGGGUGCGUAGGCGGAUACUUAAGUCAGAUGUGAAAUACCCGGGCUCAACUUGGGUGCUGCAUUUGAAACUGGAUAUCUAGAGUACAGGAGAGGAAAGCGGAAUUCCUAGUGUAGCGGUGAAAUGCGUAGAGAUUAGGAAGAACACCGGUGGCGAAGGCGGCUUUCUGGACUGUAACUGACGCUGAGGCACGAAAGCGUGGGGAGCAAACAGGAUUAGAUACCCUGGUAGUCCACGCCGUAAACUAUGAAUACUAGGUGUGGGGGAGUGAUACCUCUGUGCCGCAGUCAACGCAUUAAGUAUUCCACCUGGGGAGUACGAUCGCAAGAUUAAA
This 392-nucleotide ribosomal RNA is filed under the name uncultured bacterium. Its description in RNAcentral is "bacterial SSU rRNA". It matches the Rfam family "Bacterial small subunit ribosomal RNA", at positions 505 to 898 of the family's 1533-position model. The record is from RNAcentral.